UUUGAGCUACUGGAUCCCCAGGGG
RNAcentral lists this non-coding RNA (24 nucleotides) under Mus musculus (house mouse). Lineage: Eukaryota; Metazoa; Chordata; Mammalia; Rodentia; Muridae. The record is from RNAcentral.